GCCUGGGUGGCUCAGUCGGUUGAGCAUCUGACUUUGGCUCAGGUCAUGAUCUCACGGUUCAUGGGUUCAAACCCCACAUCGGGUU
RNAcentral lists this transfer RNA (85 nucleotides) under Felis catus (domestic cat). It matches the Rfam family "tRNA". From Rfam's summary of the family: Transfer RNA (tRNA) molecules are approximately 80 nucleotides in length. Their secondary structure includes four short double-helical elements and three loops (D, anti-codon, and T loops). The record is from Rfam by way of RNAcentral. Lineage: Eukaryota; Metazoa; Chordata; Mammalia; Carnivora; Felidae.